GACGAACGCUGGCGGCGUGCUUAACACAUGCAAGUCGAACGGAAAGGCCCUGCUUGCAGGGUACUCGAGUGGCGAACGGGUGAGUAACACGUGGGUGAUCUGCCCUGCACUUCGGGAUAAGCCUGGGAAACUGGGUCUAAUACCGGAUAGGAGCCAUUUUUAGUGUGAUGGUUGGAAAGUUUUUUCGGUGUAGGAUGAGCUCGCGGCCUAUCAGCUUGUUGGUGGGGUAAUGGCCUACCAAGGCGGCGACGGGUAGCCGGCCUGAGAGGGUGGACGGCCACAUUGGGACUGAGAUACGGCCCAGACUCCUACGGGAGGCAGCAGUGGGGAAUAUUGCACAAUGGGCGCAAGCCUGAUGCAGCGACGCCGCGUGGGGGAUGACGGCCUUCGGGUUGUAAACUCCUUUCGCUAGGGACGAAGCUUUUUGUGACGGUACCUAGAGAAGAAGCACCGGCCAACUACGUG
RNAcentral lists this ribosomal RNA (465 nucleotides) under uncultured bacterium. RNAcentral describes it as "partial 16S ribosomal RNA". It matches the Rfam family "Bacterial small subunit ribosomal RNA", at positions 28 to 507 of the family's 1533-position model. The record is from RNAcentral.